UAGGGAAUCUUCGGCAAUUGGACGAAAGUCUGACCGAGCAACGCCGCGUGAGUGAAGAAGGUUUUCGGAUCGUAAAACUCUGUUGUUAGAGAAGAACAAGGGUGAGAGUAACUGUUCACCCCUUGACGGUAUCUAACCAGAAAGCAACGGCUAACUACGUGCCAGCAGCCGCGGUAAUACGUAGGUGGCAAGCGUUGUCCGGAUUUUUUGGGCGUAAAGCGAGCGCAGGCGGUUUCUUAAGUCUGAUGGGAAAGCCCCCGGCUCAAACGGGGGGGGUCAUUGGAAAAUUGGAGACUUGAGUGGAGAAGAGGAGAGUGGAAUUCCAUGUGUAGCGGUGAAAUGCGUAGAUAUAUGGAGGAACACCAGUGGCGAAGGCGGCUCUCUGGUCUGUCACUGACGCUGAGGCUCGAAAGCGUGGGGAGCAAACAGGAUU
Molecule: ribosomal RNA, 433 nt
Filed under: uncultured bacterium
Lineage: Bacteria
Description: bacterial SSU rRNA
Rfam family: Bacterial small subunit ribosomal RNA
Source: RNAcentral